UACGGAGGGUGCAAGCGUUGUCCGGAAUCACUGGGCGUAAAGGGCGCGUAGGCGGCCCGGUAAGUAGGGGGUGAAAUCCUGCGGCUUAACCGCAGGGCUGCCUUCUAAACUGUCGGGCUCGAGCACGGUAGAGGCAGAUGGAAUUCCCGGUGUAGCAGUGAAAUGCGUAGAGAUCGGGAGGAACAUCAGUUGCGAAGGCGGCUCUCUGGACCAGCACUGACACUGAGGCACGAAAGCGUGGGGAGCAAACAGG
This 253-nucleotide ribosomal RNA is filed under the name uncultured bacterium. RNAcentral's name for it is "partial 16S ribosomal RNA". It matches the Rfam family "Bacterial small subunit ribosomal RNA", at positions 524 to 776 of the family's 1533-position model. The record is from RNAcentral.